UGCGUAGGCGGGUCUUUAAGUCAGGGGUGAAAUCCUGGAGCUCAACUCCAGAACUGCCUUUGAUACUGAGGAUCUUGAGUUCGGGAGAGGUGAGUGGAACUGCGAGUGUAGAGGUGAAAUUCGUAGAUAUUCGCAAGAACACCAGUGGCGAAGGCGGCUCACUGGCCCGAUACUGACGCUGAGGCACGAAAAGCGUGGGGAGCAAACA
Molecule: ribosomal RNA, 208 nt
Filed under: uncultured bacterium
Lineage: Bacteria
Description: partial 16S ribosomal RNA
Rfam family: Bacterial small subunit ribosomal RNA
Source: RNAcentral